Small nucleolar RNA from Brassica oleracea var. oleracea, 107 nucleotides. It matches the Rfam family "Plant small nucleolar RNA R71". Rfam says of the family: R71 is a member of the C/D box family of snoRNAs containing the C (UGAUGA) and D (CUGA) box motifs. Multiple nearly identical copies of this snoRNA have been identified in Arabidopsis, and it is thought to function as a 2'-O-ribose methylation guide for 18S ribosomal RNA. The record is from Rfam. NCBI's taxonomy places the organism in Eukaryota, Viridiplantae, Streptophyta, Magnoliopsida, Brassicales, Brassicaceae.
AAACCAUGAUGAAGGCAUUGAGACCAAUAGCCCUUGAACCUCUCCCACGCUUCACUGAAGCUUUCUAGACCUUUCUGUUGAAACUCAGAGAUUUCGUUCCUGAUCUU